CGUGGGUAACCUGCCCAAGAGAUCGGGAUAACACCUGGAAACAGAUGCUAAUACCGGAUAACAACAGAUGAUGCCUAUCAACUGUUUAAAAGAUGGUUCUGCUAUCACUCUUGGAUGGACCUGCGGUGCAUUAGCUAGUUGGUAGGGUAACGGCCUACCAAGGCGAUGAUGCAUANCCGAGUUGAGAGACUGAUCGGCCACAUUGGGACUGAGACACGGCCCAAACUCCUACGGGAGGCAGCAGUU
Molecule: ribosomal RNA, 246 nt
Filed under: uncultured Lactobacillus sp.
Lineage: Bacteria; Bacillati; Bacillota; Bacilli; Lactobacillales; Lactobacillaceae
Description: partial 16S ribosomal RNA
Rfam family: Bacterial small subunit ribosomal RNA
Source: RNAcentral